RNAcentral lists this ribosomal RNA (468 nucleotides) under uncultured bacterium. RNAcentral's name for it is "partial 16S ribosomal RNA". It matches the Rfam family "Bacterial small subunit ribosomal RNA", at positions 28 to 507 of the family's 1533-position model. The record is from RNAcentral.
GAUGAACGCUGGCGGCGUGCUUAACACAUGCAAGUCGAACGGUGAAGGCUGAGCUUGCUCUUCUGGAUCAGUUGCUAACGGGUGAGUAACACGUGAGCAAUCUGCCCCUGACUCUGGGAUAAGCGCUGGAAACGGCGUCUAAUACUUGAUACGAGCUGCGCAGUCAUCUUCAGCAGCUGGAAAGAAUUUCGGUCAGGGAUGAGCUCGCGUCCUAUCAGCUUGUUGGUGAGGUAAUGGCUCACCAAGGCGUCGACGGGUAGCCGGCCUGGGAGGGUGACCGGCCAAACGGGGAUUGAGAAACGACCAAGAGUCCAACGGGAGGAAGAAGGGGGAAAAAUGGAAAAAGGGGCGAAAGCAGGAGGCGGAAACGCCGGGUGAGGGAGGACGGCCUUAGGGUGGUAAACGUCUUUGAGCAGGGAAGAAGAGAAAGUGACGGUACCGGCAGAAAAAGCGCCGGCUAACUACGUG